This 211-nucleotide ribosomal RNA is filed under the name uncultured bacterium. RNAcentral describes it as "partial 16S ribosomal RNA". It matches the Rfam family "Bacterial small subunit ribosomal RNA", at positions 524 to 735 of the family's 1533-position model. The record is from RNAcentral.
UACGUAGGGGGCGAGCGUUGUCCGGAGUUACUGGGCGUAAAGGGUGCGCAGGCGGCCUUGCGCGUCGCGAGUGAAAUCUCCCGGCUCAACUGGGAGGGUGGUCGCGAGACGGCAGGCUUGAGGCUCGGUGAGGGGCGUGGAAUGCCGGGUGGAGCGGUGAAAUGCGUAGAGAUCCGGAGGAACACCGACGGCGUAGGCAGCGCCCUAGACG